GAAAAGGAUUGGCAGAGAGUUGAGACGCCAAUUGUUUGAGAGGUAUCGCUCAAGGCAUAGCCUCAGUCGGAGCAGAAGUUGAAGUCCUUAUAGGCAUCGCAGCUAUGAUGAGCGCCCUCAUGGAGGUUGUGGGCACAGUAGAAGGUAUGAUGACGAGGAUUACUACCAUGAGAGUCGUAGCAAGAGGAACAGGACUACAAGCCCUGGCCACAGAAGAGGACGAAGCAGGAGCCCGGGGGGAAGAAGGAACCGGAGUCCAGUAAGAGAAGGAAGUGAGGAGAGACAUGCCAAAAUCGGGCAGUGGAACAGGGAAAAGGAACAGUCAGAAAAAGCUAAUAAGGAUAAUACUUAUGGUUCCAACAAUAACAACGAAAGCAAUGAAGAUCAGUACUAUGGAAACCAGCAGCGGCGAGGAUAUGGAUAUUGAUCCAACUAAUAUUUUCUGGUUUCAUGCUGUGACAGAGGAUUGGAUUUAACUGGGUUUUGCAGAUCACAUUUGAAAGGAUUGUGAAAGACUCCCACUGCGUUAGUAAAGUAUGGCCCGCAAUGUUGUAAUUUUUUAUUCUAGUGUCUGUAUUCUAUCUAUCUAGGUAAUUAUUCUAAUGUCCUUUUCUUUUCUUCUCUUCUCUUCUCUUCUCUUUCUUCCUUACCCAAAACCCCUCUGCAGGUGUGUGGCAGAGAAGAAAUAAAAUUUACUUUUUGGAAGUUAAAAUCUUGUUAAAACAGGUGUUUAAUUGUGUUUUUUGCUUGUAUUUCAUAGGUAUUAAGUCUGCAUGAAACCAAUGUUUCAAUUUGUGUUCUGAUAA
This is a non-coding RNA of Camellia sinensis, 806 nucleotides long. The record is from RefSeq and is a predicted model, not a curated record. NCBI's taxonomy places the organism in Eukaryota, Viridiplantae, Streptophyta, Magnoliopsida, Ericales, Theaceae.